This 254-nucleotide ribosomal RNA is filed under the name uncultured bacterium. Its description in RNAcentral is "partial 16S ribosomal RNA". It matches the Rfam family "Bacterial small subunit ribosomal RNA", at positions 524 to 776 of the family's 1533-position model. The record is from RNAcentral.
GACGAACCGUGCGAACGUUAUUCGGAAUCACUGGGCUUAAAGCGCGUGUAGGCGGGCCGGCCCGUCCGCUGCUGAAAUCCCCCGGCUCAACCGGGGAACGGGCACGGAGACGACCGGCCUGGAGGGGAGUAGGGGGACCUGGAACUUCCGGUGGAGCGGUGAAAUGCGUUGAGAUCGGAAGGAACGCCCGUGGCGAAAGCGAGGUCCUGGGCUCCUGCUGACGCUGAGACGCGAAAGCCAGGGGAGCAAACGGG